UCGCCCAAGAGAUCGGGAUAACACCUGGAAACAAGAUGCUAAUACCGGAUAACAACAGAUGAUGCCUAUCAACUGUUUAAAAGAUGGUUCUGCNUAUCACUCUUGGAUGGACCUGCGGUGCAUUAGCUAGUUGGUAGGGUAACGGCCUACCAAGGCGAUGAUGCAUAGCCGAGUUGAGAGACUGAUCGGCCACAUUGGGACUGAGACACGGCCCAAACUCCUACGGGAGGCAGCAGUU
RNAcentral lists this ribosomal RNA (238 nucleotides) under uncultured Lactobacillus sp. RNAcentral's name for it is "partial 16S ribosomal RNA". It matches the Rfam family "Bacterial small subunit ribosomal RNA", at positions 126 to 355 of the family's 1533-position model. Lineage: Bacteria; Bacillati; Bacillota; Bacilli; Lactobacillales; Lactobacillaceae. The record is from RNAcentral.